GACGAACGCUGGCGGCGUGCUUAACACAUGCAAGUCGAACGGAAAGGCCCUGCUUUUGUGGGGUGCUCGAGUGGCGAACGGGUGAGUAACACGUGAGUAACCUGCCCUUGACUUUGGGAUAACUUCAGGAAACUGGGGCUAAUACCGGAUAGGAGCUCCUGCUGCAUGGUGGGGGUUGGAAAGUUUCGGCGGUUGGGGAUGGACUCGCGGCUUAUCAGCUUGUUGGGGGGGUAGUGGCUUACCAAGGCUUUGACGGGUAGCCGGCCUGAGAGGGUGACCGGCGACAUUGGGACUGAGAUAAGGCACAGAUUCCGAAGGGAGGGAGAUGGGGGGAAGCUUGAAGAAGGGGCGCAAGCCGGAUGCAGCAACGCCUCGUGCGGGAUGACGGUCUUCGGGUUGUAAACCGCAUUCGUCUGUGACGAAGCGUGAGUUACGGUAAUGGGUAAAGAAGCACCCGCUAAACACGUGG
Molecule: ribosomal RNA, 469 nt
Filed under: uncultured bacterium
Lineage: Bacteria
Description: partial 16S ribosomal RNA
Rfam family: Bacterial small subunit ribosomal RNA
Source: RNAcentral